GAUGAACGCUGGCGGCGUGCUUAACACAUGCAAGUCGAACGGUGAACACGGGGCUUGCUCUGUGGGAUCAGUGGCGAACGGGUGAGUAACACGUGAGCAACCUGCCCCUGACUCUGGGAUAAGCGCUGGAAACGGCGUCUAAUACUGGAUAUGUGACGUGACCGCAUGGUCUGCGUUUGGAAAGAUUUUUCGGUUGGGGAUGGGCUCGCGGCCUAUCAGCUUGUUGGUGAGGUAAUGGCUCACCAAGGCGUCGACGGGUAGCCGGCCUGAGAGGGUGACCGGCCACACUGGGACUGAGACACGGCCCAGACUCCUACGGGAGGCAGCAGUGGGGAAUAUUGCACAAUGGGCGCAAGCCUGAUGCAGCAACGCCGCGUGAGGGAUGACGGCCUUCGGGUUGUAAACCUCUUUUAGCAGGGAAGAAGCGAAAGUGACGGUACCUGCAGAAAAAGCGCCGGCUAACUACGUG
RNAcentral lists this ribosomal RNA (469 nucleotides) under uncultured bacterium. RNAcentral's name for it is "partial 16S ribosomal RNA". It matches the Rfam family "Bacterial small subunit ribosomal RNA", at positions 28 to 507 of the family's 1533-position model. The record is from RNAcentral.